UCCCAUCCCUCGGCUGUGCUGGCGGGGGAUGAUGGGUUUGUAGUCCGUCACCCCUCGGGGGGAGGGGGAGAUGGACUGCGGACUGCGAAGAAAAAACAUGAGACGUUGCAGCGCGUUGGAGAAAGAAAAGGCAGAAAGAGAGUUCACCCACCCACCAAGCUGGGCGGCUUGCAAGAAAUAUUGGGCCCAUCUUCAUGACAGAAGCAACUCAACAGAAGCACGGAAUCUACUUGGGAUCCAUCAGCUUAGCUAGAAGAUAGUGAUCCGCCUUGUUUGCAUUGCCUGAAAGCUGAGUGGAGGCGUUCCUGCCAUCCUGAAAAACAAAGGUUAGUUUCUCCCAGGGCAGGGCUGAGAAAUGCUUAGCCACACGUCUUGAGAAAGGGUGAGGUUUAGUUGCAGCUCUGUUAUCUUUAAGACUGAUCUCUUCUAGAGGGUUUGCCUCUCCCAGGGAGAGCUCAAAACCAAUCUGGACUGGAGCAGGGUAACUUCUGUAAAUAGGCCUACCACAUUCUUUGCAAAAGAGCCCCCUAGGCCAUGCUAAUCAAGUUCCAUCUGGGAUCAUUGAAUGCUGAGCAUCUGCAGACUUUAUUUUUUAAUCGAUAUACACGUGCACCAAAACUGGAUCUUACAAGGCCUGGGCUGGGAAGAAACCAUCAGGAAGGACUUAAGAUGUUUAUGCAUCCUACUUGAUGCCACUUUGAAUGGGCUACAAGGUUUCCAGAGGUCUUCUGGGCUAGUGCAAGACAUCUGGUAUAUUAAGGGCUUGUUAGAGAAGAGUCAUCUGCUUGAAGGUGUUCUCUGUUGGAAGGAUGGUCAAAGGACAGUAAUCUAGUUGAGCAGUUCUCAACUUUUUAUUUCUCCGCUUUCUCCAGGACCCUGAUAGAUUUACAGUGAUUUUGUAAGUUUUAAGGAUUUAAUUAACAUUUCAAUCGCUUGCCCCAUUUCCAACCUUGAUUACUGGCCUGUUUGAAGGUAUCUGCACUUGGAAAUCUGCGUUAUCUGCUUGAAGACAUCUGUUAGAUGCCGUCCUUUUUUUUCCAGUGAUUUGUUUGCAUGGAUGAAGGUCUACCUUAUCCUGCGUUCAGGGGUGCCUGGAGCAGUGCUCAAGAAGCAGUUAAUCAUAAGAAGAGCAGACAGUCCUUCAGAAAUUAGUGCAAAUGUGUAAAAGCCAUGGCUAUAUAGAUACAUCCAUGAAUCUUACUGGAGCCUACAGAAGAAGGAAAUAAACUUGACUUGCAUGAAACAAUUACCGGUAACUGCAUUAUUAGGCUGCCAAAGACAUUGCAGUAUGACUGUUCCCAUAUUGUUAAUCUGGUUUUUCUUUCCUUCCUGAAGGAUGGAUUGCAUAAUGAACUCUCCUAGCCAUUAUGUUUGAUGGAGGGUGAGAUCCAACAGACGGAUGCAUCACCCACGUUGCCAAGGUAACCACUGAAUUAUAGCUUGAUUUGGCUGUAGCCAUGAGGUUGUAUUUAUUCUUUUUAAAACUCUCACUUCUUUCAGUUCCAGAGCUGGCAGAUGGAAAUAAGAAAAACCUGCCGCCGAAGAGGUAGCAGAUGUUUGUAAGAUAUAAGACAGUGUUAGAAUUCAUCUUGUUAUAUUGGCAUUUAUCCAAGUACUAAUUAGAUCCAAUCUUGCUUAGGUGUUUGCGUGUUUGUUUGUUUGUUUAGAUUAGCCACAGUUAGAGGGGGCUGAUUUUAAAGUUCAGAGAAAAGGGGCGGCAGAGAUCGUUGUGAUUCUAUGUAGUUGAUGAGAGCCUGAAAACAGAGAGAGGUGAGAAUUUUAAAGAACACAAGGGUAUUAAGUCUUCUGUGGGCAUGAUAGAAACAAAGAUGAUUUGCAAGGAAAAAAAUAAA
Non-coding RNA from Python bivittatus (Burmese python), 1853 nucleotides. Lineage: Eukaryota; Metazoa; Chordata; Lepidosauria; Squamata; Pythonidae. The record is from RefSeq and is a predicted model, not a curated record.